This 115-nucleotide non-coding RNA is filed under the name Karenia brevis. Lineage: Eukaryota; Dinophyceae; Gymnodiniales; Kareniaceae. The record is from RNAcentral.
GUUUGCAGUUGAUUCUGUGAUCGCCAUACUCUGCCGUUUGAAUGUGAGACAUUGGCGACCCUGGAGGCAUGGCAGGUCAACGAGCCGGUCAAGCAUUGCCAGAGUUGCUGGAGAG